This 1163-nucleotide non-coding RNA is filed under the name Gossypium hirsutum (cotton). RNAcentral describes it as "Bacterial small subunit ribosomal RNA". It matches the Rfam family "Bacterial small subunit ribosomal RNA", at positions 357 to 1533 of the family's 1533-position model. Lineage: Eukaryota; Viridiplantae; Streptophyta; Magnoliopsida; Malvales; Malvaceae. The record is from Rfam by way of RNAcentral.
AAAAACAUAAACUUAAUAAUAAUUUAGUGAUCUUAGGUGUAAUUUACCCUUAAAUCAAAAAAGAUACUUUGUUGAAAUAAGAUUUAAUAUGAAUUGAACAAUGACGGUAUUUGGGGAAUAAGCAUCAGUUAACUCUGUGCCAGUAGCUGCAGUAAUACAGAUAAUGCAAGAGUUAUCUGCAAUGAUUGGGCGUAAAGUGUCUGUAGGUGGCUUUUUAUGUCUGCCAUCAAAUCCCAAGGCUCAACCCUGGACAAGUGGUGAAAACUUCGAAGCUGGAGUACAGUAGGGGUAGAGGGAAUUUUCGGUGGAGCGGUGAAAUACGUAGAGAUUAAAGAACACCAACGGAAAAAGUACUCUACUGGGUUGACACUGACACUGAGAGACUAAAGCCAGGGGAGCAAAUGGGAUUAGAUACCCGAAUAGUCCUAGCCGUAAAUGAUGGAUACUAGGCACUAUGCGUAUCGACCCAUGUAGUGCUGUAGCUAAUGCAUUAAGUAUCCUGCUUGGGGAGUAUGUUAACAAGAAUGAAACUAAAAGGAAUUGACAGGGGCCCAUACAAGCGGUAGAGCAUGUGGUUUAAUUCGAUGUAAAGAGAAGAACCUUACCAGGGCUUGACAUGCCGCGAAUCCUCUUGAAAGAGAGAGGUGCCUUCGGGAACGCGGACAUAGGUGGUGCAUAGCUAUCGUUAGCUCGUGUCGUAAGGUGUUUGGUUAAGUCUCGCAACAAGCACAAUCCUCGUGUUUGGUUGCCACCGCUGAGUUUGGAACCCUGAGCAGACUACCGGUGAUAAGCCAGAGGAAGGUAAGGAUAACGUCAAGUUAUCAUGCCCCUUAUGCCUUGGGUGACACACGUGCUACAAUAGACGAGACAAAGGGUCGCAAUCCCGCGAGAGUGAGCUAACUCCAAAAACCCAUCUUCAAUUCGAAUUGUAGGCUAUAACUCGCUUGCAUAAAGUAGAAAUCGCUAGUAAUCACCGGUCAACCAUACGACAAUGAAUUCAUUCCCGGGCCUUGUACACAUUACCUAUUAAACUAUAGGAGCAAGCUAUGCCUAAAGUCGCUACCUUAACCACAAUGAGGGGAAUGCGGAAGGCAGGGCUAGUGACUAGAGUGAAGUCGUAACAAGGUAGUCGUACUGGAAGGUGUGGCUGGAUCACCUUCUUU